AUUGAACGCUGGCGGCAGGCUUAACACAUGCAAGUCGAGCGGGGGAAGGUAGCUUGCUACCGGACCUAGCGGCGGACGGGUGAGUAAUGCUUAGGAAUCUGCCUAUUAGUGGGGGACAACAUCUCGAAAGGGAUGCUAAUACCGCAUACGUCCUACGGGAGAAAGCAGGGGAUCUUCGGACCUUGCGCUAAUAGAUGAGCCUAAGUCGGAUUAGCUAGUUGGUGGGGUAAAGGCCUACCAAGGCGACGAUCUGUAGCGGGUCUGAGAGGAUGAUCCGCCACACUGGGAGUGAGACACGGCCCAGACUCCGACGGGAGGCAGCAGUGGGGAAUAUUGGACAAUGGGGGGAACCCUGAUCCAGCCAUGCCGCGUGUGUGAAGAAGGCCUUAUGGUUGUAAAACACUUUAAGCGAGGAGGAGGCUACUUUAGUUAAUACCUAGAGAUAGUGGACGUUACUCGCAGAAUAAGCACCGGCUAACUCUGUGCCAGCAGCCGCCGUAA
This 501-nucleotide ribosomal RNA is filed under the name uncultured bacterium. Its description in RNAcentral is "partial 16S ribosomal RNA". It matches the Rfam family "Bacterial small subunit ribosomal RNA", at positions 30 to 523 of the family's 1533-position model. The record is from RNAcentral.